RNAcentral lists this ribosomal RNA (606 nucleotides) under uncultured Fibrobacterales bacterium. Its description in RNAcentral is "bacterial SSU rRNA". It matches the Rfam family "Bacterial small subunit ribosomal RNA", at positions 917 to 1519 of the family's 1533-position model. Lineage: Bacteria; Pseudomonadati; Fibrobacterota; Fibrobacteria; Fibrobacterales. The record is from RNAcentral.
GGGCCCGCACAAGCGGUGGAGCAUGUGGUUUAAUUCGAUGCAACGCGAAGAACCUUACCUGGGCUUGACAUGGGAAUGGCAGGACGAGAGAUCGUCUUUUCUCUUCGGAGACAUUCCGCACAGGUGCUGCAUGGCUGUCGUCAGCUCGUGUUGUGAGAUGUUCGGUUAAGUCCGGCAACGAGCGCAACCCCUGUCCUUAGUUGUCAUCAGGUUAUGCUGGACCCUCUAAGGAGACUGCCCGGGUUAACCGGGAGGAAGGUGGGGAUGACGUCAAGUCCUCAUGGCCCUUACGCCCAGGGCUACACACGUGCUACAAUGGUCGGUACAGUGGGAAGCAAAGCCGCAAGGUGGAGCAAAUCCUCAAAGCCGUCCUCAGUUCGGAUUGGAGGCUGCAACUCGCCUCCAUGAAGCUGGAAUCGCUAGUAAUCGUAGAUCAGAAUGCUACGGUGAAUACGUUCCCGGGCCUUGUACACACCGCCCGUCAAGCCACGAAAGAAGAGAGCGCUCCAAGUCGCCAAGCUAACCUUUAUCGGAAGCCAGCGCCUAAAGCGAGAUCUUUGAUUGGGGCUAAGUCGUAACAAGGUAGCCGUAUCGGAAGGUGCGGCU